GGUUGGUUUCUAUCCUUAAUUAAUUAAAAUAUUUUAGUACGAAAGGAUUAAAUAUUUAAAAAAUUUUUUAAAAAUUUUUGAAUAAAAUUAAU
RNAcentral lists this ribosomal RNA (92 nucleotides) under Trichopsychoda hirtella. RNAcentral's name for it is "partial 16S ribosomal RNA". The record is from RNAcentral. Lineage: Eukaryota; Metazoa; Arthropoda; Insecta; Diptera; Psychodidae.